CUCUGGCUCUGGCUUAGCUCUCCAGCCGACCACAUUUGUCCUCCAUCUGCCGCUCCUUUGUCUUAGUUCUUCUUCAUUCAGAACAAGGAGGGGUAAAGGGGAUGCUAUCUUUUUGGCUUCCUUCAAACCCCACCUCCAAUAGUCAGAACAAAGGGUGUUGUCAGAAACACAUGCAGACACCAGAGUAACGAGAUGGGUCAUCCCUGCAAACAUUGAAACCAACAAGCUAUGUUUGAUCAAUUUCAGUUAAAAACAAGCCUAAAAAGAUUGAUUUCUUUUAUCUUUUAUUCAUUUAAUAGAAAAUAAAAAACAACUCAAAGUAAAAAUUCUUACUCUCAAAAGCACAUGAUGAAAUGCUGAAAAAUACAUACAAAAUGUAUAGACAGGGUUAAUAUGAUUUGUAAUGAUCUUGCAAUUUCAGCUUUAGGACAUUUACUCAAAUCUCUGAAGUUUCAUUCAACUCAUCUGUUAUCCACUGAUUUGAAUUCAUAACAAAGUGAUAAAUGUUUAGUUAGAAUAUUUUAACAGACCAUAGGGAAUUCAUUCAAUUUCUCUAAAUUUCAGUUUAUGCGUCCAUAAAAUGGGUGUACAAAUAUAUUUAUCUAAAGUUGGGACAAAAAUAAAAUGGGAGUACAUCAUAGUGACUUAUAUAUAAUAAAAUAAUACGCCA
Molecule: long non-coding RNA, 670 nt
Organism: Phyllostomus discolor (pale spear-nosed bat)
Lineage: Eukaryota; Metazoa; Chordata; Mammalia; Chiroptera; Phyllostomidae
Exons: 3
Source: RefSeq, a predicted model, not a curated record